This is a non-coding RNA of Lactuca sativa (garden lettuce), 321 nucleotides long. NCBI's taxonomy places the organism in Eukaryota, Viridiplantae, Streptophyta, Magnoliopsida, Asterales, Asteraceae. The record is from RefSeq and is a predicted model, not a curated record.
GGGAGGGUGGCUAGCUGUUUCACCUCCAAGCUUCAAAACCAUGUUUACCAUGUAGCUAGGUUGUCCUUGUACAAGGUGUCCAACGAUAAUACACUUCAACACUUCAUUUGGAUUUGGAUUGCAUUGAUUCCAUUGGUUGUCUUUGCCAAGAAGUCUUCUGCAGCAACUCUUAUCGUUUCUAACUCUUGGGUUGCACCUCUCCGCAUCUGAAGUUCUAUAUAUGUUUCAAUGUUUGUUGGUUGUUUUCUGUGUUAUCAUGAUACGAUAAGUGAUGGAUAAGCAUUGGUGUUGAUAUUAUAAUGUUUGAAACGAAAAGAUAUA